This is a non-coding RNA of Ictidomys tridecemlineatus (thirteen-lined ground squirrel), 6136 nucleotides long. NCBI's taxonomy places the organism in Eukaryota, Metazoa, Chordata, Mammalia, Rodentia, Sciuridae. The record is from RefSeq and is a predicted model, not a curated record.
CCCUAUUUCAAAAUACAUUUUUUAAAAAGGGGAACAUAGUUCAGUGGUAAAGCACCCCUGGGUUCAAUGUCAAUUAAAAAAAAAUUCAUGUAAUGAACACAUGUAUAACAUUUUUAAACUCUUCUAAAGUAAGGAGUCAGCCCUGCCACCCCUAUAAUCCCACCUCUUUAAGAGGUCAAGGCAGGAGGAUCACUUGAUACAAUGAGUUCCAGACCAACCUAGACAACACAGCAAGACCUCUUCUCAAAAGUAGAAAAAAGACAAGAUAUUUUAUGCAUUAUUUUCUAUCAUUAUGUUUGUGAUUGUAGGUAACUGAAUUCUUUAUCUGAAAAAUAGUGGAAAAGGAGGAAAGAUGCCUGCAAUUUGAGAAGAACCAAAAAUCUAACAAGGGUAACUAAUAUAUAACCAAUAUAUAUAUAACUAACAAGGGUAACUAAUAUAUAACUAAUAUAUAAUUAUAUAACUAAUAUAUAAGGAAAAUAUUCUGCUUGUAAAGAAAAGACCUAACCUAUCUAUAUAACAAUCAUAUUAACAGAAAUGAGGCAAUUAACACACAAGAUUUUAGAAAAAAAGAGUGGAUUUUACUAUCUGUUCACUAGAAAGGUGGAGUCCACUGGGGGAAAUCUGAUACUUCAUUGGUACACCAAUUCUUAGUCAAAGAACCUUUAAGUACCUCCCUUUACCAUCCCCCCAACCCUGCCCCCAGUAUUGGGGAUCACACCCAGGGUCUCAUACAUGCUAGGUAAGUGCUCUACCACUGAGCCUCAGCCCAUCCUUCUCUUUACUUUUACUACAUGCUAUCCAAGCAGGUUAUGAUCCCAACUAUGGUUCUCUAGGCAUCUUGCAAACUAAGCAGUAAAUAUAAACCUCUUUAGCAACUUAUAGUCAGUAUUCACUGAACAAACUUCAGUGUGGCAAGCAAAAGCUUUAUCAGCUCUGGCUAUUCUGACAAAAUUUAGUUUCAAAACUUGAAUAUUUUUCCUUUCCACUUUCUUAAAAAUCCUAUUUUUCCUUUUCUUCUGAAAAAGUAACUACUGACUCUCUUUCAUGACCUAGUUAGUUGCAUGCAGACACCUAAAUGUUCCUAAGCUUACUUUUGGCAAGUGUCACACUUAAAUGUCUUAUGUCAGUGUCAUUUACCUUUUAAGCUACUACAUGUUCUGCAGCUGAAAAAUGCAGACAGAGUCACCUGUAAUUAGAAAAAGAACUCACUCAGGGUCAGGUAACAAGAAAACAAAAGCAAUGGGGCAAAACACAGAAAUCCUUGAGUUAUAAGAAAAACAAGUAAAUAGAUAAUGUUCUUCAAAGUUCUUUUGAUGGCAGAUAAAUGUCAAAAUGACUAUUACUAUUUUAGCUAAAGAACUCUAGAGACUUGAGUGCAUUUGGGUUGGAAAGGUGAGGAAAAAAAUUUAAGCAUUUAUUCUUUCUAGACAUAGUUCUGCAUGCUUUACAUGCAUUCUCAUUUUAUCUUCAUAACUCUAUGGAGUAAUAGUAAAGAUCAUAAAUAUUUCAUCCAUAAUUCAUAUAAUAACCACUGCUAGUAAGACAUAUCCUCCUGGACAAUUUUUUCUAGUAAUGAUACUGCUUCCUAUUCUGGGGAAUAUGGGGGAAUUAGAGAAAAAAGCUUAAUGUAUUUACAUGAUAUUUGUGUAAGAUAAACAGGUUUUUUUGAGGAGUUGUAUGUCAGGUAUUGUAUUAGGCACUUUUACAUACACCAAUUCAUUAAAUCUGCAUUCUUUCAGGUAUAGAUUGUAUGUGUAUAAUUUCACCAUUCGUAGAUAAGUAAACUGAGGUAAGUAUUAAAUUUUCAACCAAAUUCACACAGUACAAAAAUAUUUCAGGAAUGAAACUCAUGUCUAACCAAUUCCUAAAUUUCUGAUUAUCCUAUUAUACCACAUACUUCUACUGCCAUUGAAUGAAAGUCUGUUACCCUUAUUCCUUAUUUGACCUCCAGAAACUAUCCAUAAUACAUCUAAUCAUUUUACCACUUUAGUGCUUCUAAUAUGCAAAAACUUCUAUUGUUUUUCUAAGUUUCCAGAUCAUCAGGUUAAACAAUAGUAGUUCUACCACUCAGUCCUCCAAAGCAUAAUCUACAUUUUUAAUUCAAACUACAGUGUUCUACAAAGGAUUUUAAUCAGUGACAAUGAGCAAAUACAAUAAAGCAAAUGAGUCUGAUUAGGGAAAAUACAAAAACAAAAGCAAAAAUAAAAUCAUGCAAAGAACUUUUAGCUCUGCCUUUCAUGGCAAUCCAAGAAAAAAUAAACAGUAAGGUCUGUUACAUAAUUCUUUAUUAGCAAAAACUUAGUAGUUCUUUAGUGGGCGUGGGUUUUCUUUUUUUCUUUUUAAGACAAAGGUUUAUUUAGCAAAGGUACAUUCAAGGGAGAACAUGAGCUAUCUCAAAAGUACAAAGCUUUGGAGGUAAAGGAAGGAAUACACAUUUAAGGAAGAAGGUGGGCCAUCUCCAAAGAGAGAAAGGGGGGGGGAGGUGAAUUUAAAAAAAAAAAAAAAUAUAUAUAUAAACAAAUAUGCUAAGCAAUUUAGUAAUGCCCUAGGCAAUUUUCCUAUGGUAUGUAAAUAAAAAAUUACUCAACAGAGAAAGCCUCAGUAUUGUUCACAGCCAAAUGCAUUUAUAAUUGCCUAAUCUAGAUUUAAGCCAUUUUAUGUAGUACAAAAUCACCACAACUGAAAUUUCUAGAGCUCUUUCUAACAGUUCCUGAAAAAACCACUACCUAAUAAUCACACAAUAAAAUGUAAAUAUGCUUGGAGGCCAUCUAGGACCCUUCAAGGCACUGCUUGGUACAUAUAGGUCAAUUAUAGGUCAAUUAUACAGUAGCACAAGUGGUAACAGCAAUAUACUCUCCUAUGGGAGCAAAUAAAGGACUUGUUACAAUUUUUAAAAAAUGUAAUCCUUUUACAGAAAAUGUGGUUUAGAUUAGCAAUUAAGCAACAAUUAAUAAAUUAAUAUCCUAUAAAUUCGGGUUCUAAUCUCACCUCCACACUAUGGCUCUAUCAUGAGAUCACAUGCCUAGUAAAGUGUUCAUUAAACUUUCCCUAUUAUCAGUAUUUUUAUUUUAAGCUUCAACUUAAGCAUGCAGGUCUUUUGCACGUCUCUAUAUUUCAUUCCACAGAAAGUGAUCAAUAAGUGACGAAUGAUACGCAUUUGGUGUUCAGAACCACUGCACAAUAUAAUAAAGAUCUUUACAGUUUUUUACCCAACCAGAGGGCUCCGUGAAACGGGAGAAGACUAAUAGUCUUCCCAGUGCGAACCUCUCACCCCAGUGGGUCUGAACCUCCCAGCACUGAUCAGUUGGCUGCGCUCCAUCAGCCCCUGGUUCCAGUGCCCUAGGACGGUAAAGAGGGAGGUGCAACGAUCCAUCUCCGAGUGCUGAGGGGAAUCCCCUGAGACCAGCUACUGCCACCCAGGACGCGGACGCCUCAGCUUGGCCGCGGGACUGGAAGCACCUGAACUUACCUCACAAGCUCCAAGCUAAGCAGAAAAGAGAGGCAGGCUACUCCGAAGCCCAAAGCCCCGCUUGGUCUCAAAUAGGAGCGGCUCCCGCCACUUCACGACUGACGCACAGAAUUCUGUUGAAUCGUUGCCGCAGAUAAGGAGACUACCCACUGCACGAGAAGCCAACUUCUCUUAAACCGCGCAAGUGCAGGUAAAUGCAAAGACCCCCGGAGGCCGUCUGGGGGAUGGGAGACCUGUGCGCUGCACACCGAAUCUCCCGCCCUGCUUAGGGGGCGGUGCCCUGCCAGACCAAUAGGAAGCGGAGUUCUCCAAGAACGACGGGUAUGUUAACCAGUCGGCGCCUACCGGUAGGCCUUGCCCAUCAGGAAAUCUGAGGAAAACGAAUCCCUAAGCACAAUGUUCCGGGGCUUUCCUUUCAUCUUUCCGUUUCCGGGGGAAGAAGGAAGUGUCCGUUGGGUCUGAGGAAGUUUGUGGAGGCAACCAGCUGCACGGUUCCUGUAUGUCUUGUGGCAGUCUUAGUGAUUUAUCUAGCUAUCUUUUUUAAGGAAAAGGAUAAAGAAAUGGAUUCUCUCUCUCGCUCUUUUUUUUUUAAACUUUUUCUCAUUUGUCCUAAAAGGUAGGAUGUCGUUCAUAUCAAGGGCUUGCGGUAGGGAGGAGGGGAGACGUCCUUUUUUCAAAGGUAAAAAGUAGGGCCUGAGUACUGGAAAGGGAGAUGGGCUCAGACAGUUAAUAGGACGGUAAGGCGCGGAAAAUAGAAUGAACUGACAAAAAGAAAAUGAGGGAGAAAGGGAACGAACCUGGCUAGGAUACAUACAAUAUUACUAACAGAACUGUGUCGUUCGAACUCAUUCAUUAUUCAAAACAACAUUAGAGUUCCCUGCGUACGCAGAAGACGAGGAUACAAUAUCGAGGUAGACGAACGCGAUUUCUCCCUUCACACUAGCUACUACACGAGGAGAUGAUGAACGGAUAAUACUGAGAAACAUGCUACAAUAUGGGAAGUGCAGUGUUUAUUGGAACACGUAGCAGGAGUCAGGAACAAAUCCUUUGAAGAAAGAGAUGCUUAAGCUACAACCUGAUGGCUAAAUAAAGGAAAGGUAACAUUUUCCAUGUAGAAGGUCCAAAUCAACAUAGCAAGUGUGUAAAGUGGUUGAGAGUUGGGUCUGUUAUUAUGGAGGGCUAGUUGGUCCCUGUGGCACUGGUCAGAUUUGUAUUAAAACGUCAUUAUAUAUAGGGAAUUUAAGAAGGCUAAGGAAGAGAUGGAGUCACACUAUUUGGCAGCUAUGUAGGGAAUUCAGUUGAGAAAAGUGAUGGUAGCCUUGCCAUCUCAAUAUUCCAUUUUGGUUAGCUGGAGGGAACAACCAGAAAAAAGAAAGAGCUGGACGUGUAACUCAGUAAAUGUUCAAGGCUCUGGGUUCAAUCCCUAGCACUACGGAAAAGAAUGAGAUAAUUUUCUGUGCAUUAGAAAUAUAGUAUUUGGUGCCUGUCGUGGUGGCCACACACCUGUAAUCCCAGCAACUUGGGUAGGCUCAGGCUUGAAGAUCAAAAGUUUGAGGACAGCCUGUGCAACUUAGUAAGACCAUGUCUCAAAAUAAAUAAAGGCUAGGGAGGUAGUUCAGUGGUAAAAGUACCCCUAAGUCCCCAGACAAUAAGCAGCCUGUUCCUGGCAAACUGGAGGAUUGGCUUAGUUUCUAGAUCUUGUCAUACUUAGUGGAGGAAUUAGAGUUCACAAGGUGAACCUGAGAGGAUCUAGACUGUACCACCAGUACAACUGAGAGUUAAGAAUAAAAAAUCAUUCUAAAACAGUUGUGUUGGGGAGGGAGUUAUGUGGAAAACUAAGAGCUUUAAUUUGGCUCCCCAAAUACUAGCAAUUAGUCAUAUAUGAAAUGACCUACCAUUUAGUACACACUUGAUAAGGGCUCAGUAGGUCAUUACUUGUAUCUAGGAAUAGAAGAAUGUGGCCUCCAGAACCUACUUUCUCUCUAAGUAUGUCCUAUACCAGAAAUAGUGAAACAUUGAGCCUCCAUACAGCACAUGAAAGAUGACUUCAUCAAGUAAAUAGUGAAAGAUUAGGCAUAGUGAGCCUUAAAAAUAGGUAAUUAAGAGGUAACUAGCUGGGCUGGGGAUGUGGCUCAAGUGGUAGUGUGCUCGCCUGGCAUGCAUACAAACGAAAGAUGUUGUAUCCGCGGAAAACUGAAAAAUAAAUAUAGAAGAAUUCUCUCUCUUUAAAAAAAAAAAAGAGGUAACUAGCUUUAGAAAAUAAUUCUCAAUACAGCUCUAGUGUGUAUAAAAGCCACUAUUUAAAAACAGUUGUGUCAGUAGAUUUCUUAAAAUUCUGAUUUACUUUGAGGAAAUGAAUAGUACUUAUCUGACACUAUUGUAUUAAUACUGUAUUUUCCUUAAAUUGUUUAAAAUGGUUCCUGGCACUCAGUAAUUUGGUGUUUAAUAUGAAAAAUCUUUGGACCUUAAAAUAUGUUGAUCUACCUGGAUGAGAGCUGGAUGUGUGUGGAGGAAUAGUGCCUCCACUGUCUUAUUAAUGUCAUGAUUGUACUACAGUACCUUAAAGGAAAAUGAUGUUUACCAUCAUAUUUUUUGUGAUUAUUCUAGAAUUUUGAAUGAGCAAGUAUAACAACAUUUCUAAUAAAAAGGACACAUUGAAACUGC